Long non-coding RNA from Helianthus annuus (common sunflower), 592 nucleotides. RefSeq lists it as uncharacterized. The transcript has 3 exons. The record is from RefSeq and is a predicted model, not a curated record. Lineage: Eukaryota; Viridiplantae; Streptophyta; Magnoliopsida; Asterales; Asteraceae.
UAACACCCAAUUAUCACAUAAGAAAAUCACCAAGCUUUUAACAACAAUCUUUCUAGUACCCAAACUAAUCUCAAAACCUUCGAAUCAACAUGUCUUGCUCAAGUGGAAAGUGCAACUGCGGCUCAAGCUGCUCAUGCGGCAGCAGCUGCAACUGCAACUCCUGCAACGUCGAGAUGUCGACCACCACCACCACUAUCAUCGUCGACGGUGUUGCACCCAGGAUGACUUUUGCUGAGGAAACCGAGGUUGCCGAGAGCGGAAACGCCUGCAAGUGCGGAAGUAACUGCAAGUGCGAUCCUUGCAACUGCUGAAGAUGAGAUCGAGCUUUGACCCAAACAAGAACUGGUGUUUUGUUUUCAUGUAAGAAAUAAAGAAACCUAUGUAUGUGUUAUUUGGAUUUCUAUUGCGGUUUCCUUGUAUUGUGUGACAGUCAAACCGUUUGAUUUCCGAUCCGGUCCUGAAAACCAUGUUCAAACGUUUAUUUAAAUCAACUUGUUUGGGUAUUUAUUAAAAGUUUGGAAUUGGAUGUUAUGUAUGUGUGAAAGAAUGAAGAAGUUGUAUGAUAUGUCCAAAAAACUAAAUUUAUUCUUCU